AGUUAUAAUUAGAGAAUUAAAAAUCCACCAACCAAACAUAAAACUAAAAAUAAUCCAACUAUAUCCUUUAUAAAAGCUACAUUUCAACUGAGAUAACUCAGAAAAACUUGAAGGAAACUGGUAAAUGCCAACAAAGAGAACAUAGAAAUUUUAUUAUUAUUGCAAGACAAAGGAUUAAAAUGGGACAGAAGUAAUCAUGAAGAUGAAAGGUAUAAGCCACAGUAAAAUUUUUAUGGGGUAGGUUAUAUCAUAGUAAACAUUACUGGAAAACACAAGGAAAAGCAGAGUAAUGAGACACACUACUAUGUUUCUUUUGGACAGAUUAGAGUAUUCGUAACCUCUAUCAUUCUUAUCUAACUUAAUCAUUAAAGUUGCUCUAAGAGAUACACAUUGAGAGCUUUACCUGUAAAUAGAAAUGAUGUCUUCUUUGGGCCCCAGGGAAAUUUUUUUUCUAGAUCAUAAAUCUAAACUUCCAGCAAACUGAGAAUAGUCCAAAAACAUUGUUUAACCACAAUGAAAUUUCAAAAAUGUACAUGAAAUUUAAAAACCCAGAUUCUUGUGUGCCCCCAUCUCCUAAAUAACUUGAUUGGAUCAAAAAGGAAGGCAAAACUAACAAAAUGUCCAGAAGAAAUCCCUAGAAAAAAUUAUGGAAAAUGCAUAUUAACAUGGAGAUGUGGGAUGCCUGGGUGGCUCAGUAGUUGAGCAUCUGCCUUUGGCUCAGGGUGUGAUCCUGGGUCCAGGGAUCCAGUCCCACAUCAGGCUCCCUGCAAGGAGCUUGCUUCUCUCUCUGCCUAUGUCUCUGCCUCUCUCUUUUUCUCGCUCUCUCAUGAAUAAAUAAAUCUUUAAACAAAACAAAAACAUGGAGAUGUGAUGAAAGCAGAACACAGAGGGAAAGUAAUACAUUUAAGUUUCUUAGCAAAAGUGAAGAAAAAUCAAGCAUUUCAGCUCCAGAUGUUAAAAAAAUAUGUAAAGUUAUUAAACAUAAAAAUACUAGAAAACAAUAAUAGUACAAUUGAUAAAUUUAAGUGUUAUUUCUAGUUAUAACAGAUACUUUAGCCUAAUUGAGACAAAAAACAAAACAUGAAAAAUUAGGAGUGGAAAGGCUAAUUAGGAAAAAAUGUAUUUUAUGUGACCCUUCCUGUGGGGUAAGGGGGUGUCAGCCAUAUAUAACUUUUGACUCUCCAAAAACUUAGUAGCCUGUGGUUUACCAGAAGCCUUAUUGAUAACACAUUUUGUAUGUUAUAUUAUAUUCUUACAAUAAGCUAGAGAAAAGGAAUGUUAAAAUCAUAAAAGACAUAUACUACAUGCUAAUAGAAAAGAUUCCUCAUAUAAAUGGGUCUGCCCAUUUAAAACGUGUUCAAGAGUCAACAUAUAUUCAUAAAUUUGAAACUCAAAUGGAUACUUUUCUAGGAAAAUAUAAGUUACUCAGAUUAACUUGAGUGGAGAAAACUCAUAAAGAUUGGCAGUAUUAAUAACGCAAAGUGAGGAUUAAAGAGCUAGCAAUUCCUCUCAGCACACAUACACUCAGUUUUGUUGCUAAAUUCUGCCAAACAGAUCAUAACUAUGGUACUUAUUCUUCCUGAGUAUAGAGAGAUGAGAAACUUUUUCUUAACUUUUUACCACCCUGUUGGUUGUGUUUCAGGCAUCCAUUUUUCCUUGCCUUCUUCCUAAAAAGAUUCCUGAUUUUGUCAGGAAUGCAUUCCCUCCUUAGCUCUAGUGAGUGGUCAGAGCUAAUUAGUCUAAGAGCCAAUUAAUGGGAAGGAAAUUGUUCCAGUACCAUUUGUUGAAAAAACUACUCAGUGGAGAAGAAAUGGGCUUUUUAACAAGUGAGACAGUUGGAUACCCACAUGCAAAAAGAUGAGUCUGGGGCUCUGCUUCACACACAUACACUAAGAUCAACUCAAAAUGUGUCACAGACCUAAAUAUAAGAGCUCAAAAGAUAAAACUCUUAGAAGACAUAGGGCCAGGCAAAUACUUCCUUAGAUGUCACAUGAAAACCUCAAGAGAUGAAGGAAGAAUUUGACGAAUUGAACUUUAUUGAAAUGGAAACUUCUUUGCUUUGGAACACACCCAGUUGCCUCUACACCAUUAGGAAGAGAGCCAAUCCGAUGACAAAUGUACUACCUUGAGAUGACAGAGCAGGGGGCAAGAACCCGAGUUUCUGAAAUCAUUGGGUCUCCGAACUAAAGAGCCUUAAAACUAGCUCCACCUCCAUAGUGAUAAUUAUGUGAGAUGGUCAGUUUCCUUUUUUUUGAAAGUUAGAGUUGACAUUUCUGUUUUGUGCAGUUGAAUGGAUCUUAAGGGAUACGUAGUGAAAUAAAAAGGUAGCCCUAGAAGAUAGCACAUGAUGUAUGAUAAUACACAUUGUAGGCUGUAUUGGCAGAAUUGCAGAUUAUAAAGAUGACAGAUUUUAUUUCAAAAUAUAGAAUUCUGACAGUCUAGAAAUUUCCUUUUUUAUUUUCCCAACUGCAGGAUUUUGAUAAUGAAACUUAAACUUUAGAAAUUAGAAUCCAGCAGUUAAUUUAAAAAUAUCAAGUGGAAUUUUGUUUAGUAAUAAGAACAGUAUCAUUGAAAUUAUAAACAAAUCAAUGGCAGAAAACUAUGGUUUUCUAUGGUCUAUAAUCUAAAUAGGUGUUAGAAAGUUAUUUGAUAGAAUUUAAUACCUAUUAUUUUAAAAGGAAAACAAGGAUAGAAGAAUUUAAGGGUAUGUUCCAUCUUAAUGUAGUCGAAGAUGUGUCUCAAAUUAACAGUCUACACUACUAAAAAAAAAAAAAAACAGUCUACACUACUUAUUACAGCAUAACUCUAGAAACGUUUAUUUAAAUAUCCCAAAUAAGGUUAUUGGAGCCACUGAGAAAAUUUUUUGGAAGUGCAACACAAUGUUAAUUUGAUACUGAAAAAUAAACAGCGAAGGACAGAAAGGAAGUAAAAUUAUUGCAAUUCAAAGAUAUUAUAUGGUUAGAAAAACAAAAAAGGUCAACUGAUGAACUAUUAGAAGCAAUUUGCUAGGGUGCUUGUUUACAAAUGAAGUGUAUGAAAGUGUUCAUUGCUUUGAAAACGUCAGGUUCUUCCCCACCCCAGGCCCAUUGCAUAUGGUAUUCCCUUUGCUCAUUACUCAUUACCACACACACCUGGUCAACUCAUUCAGCCUUCAGAUCUCAAGUGACACUGCAGAGAGCUUUGACGUUUCAAAAUUGGGUCCCUUGUGCUCACCAGUUCAGGUUCUGCUUUUCUUUCAUAUAGAACUUACCUAUAAUUUUACAUUAUGUGGUUUUUUGUUACAGCUUGUCACUCCCUUCAGAGAAUGGAGACUGUGUCUGUUUAGGUCACCAUUUUAUAUCUAGCACCUACUAGAUGCUAUCUGCCACAUAGUAGACAUUAAAUAUAUAUUUAUUGGUGAAUGAAUAAAUGCAUAAUAAUUUAAAACAAGUUUUAGGAGUAGCAUACAUGUGACAUUUUAUGAUGCUGUAUAGGCAGUUUCCUAACACAGCUCCUAUCAGCAACCCGCAGCACUGUUGUAGAGAUCAGUCUGGUCUCUCAUUCUAAUAAAGUAAAUAUGAAAUUCAUUUGCAAGUAUACAGGCAUACCUUGGAGAUGUUGCAGGUUCAGUUCUAGACCACCACAGUAAAGCAAAUACUGUAAUAAAGCAAGUCAAAUAGAGUCUUUGGUUUCCUAGUACAUACAAAUGUUAUGUUUACCCUAUACUAUAGUUCAUUAAGUGUACAAUAGCAUUAUGUUUAAAAAAAUGUACAUACUUUAAAAAUAUUGCUAAAAAUGCUAACCAUCAUCUGAGCUUUCAGGGAGUCAUAGUCUGUUUGCUGGUGGAGGGUCUUGCCUCCAUGUUUAUGGCUGCUGACUGAUCAUGGUGGUGGUGCUGAAGGCUGUUGUGGCUGUGGCAAGUUCUUAAAAUAAGAGCAGUGGUGUUUGCUGCACUGAUAGGCUCUUUCUUUCAUGAAGGAUUGCUCUGUAGCGUUUGAUGCUGUUUGUUAACAUUUCAUCCACAGGAGAACUUCUUUCAGACGGGGCAUCCUCUCAAACCUUGCUUCUGCUUUAUCCGCUCAGUUUAUGUGAUUUGUCACAGCAUCUUCAAGUGUGGAUUCCAUCUCAAGAAGCCACUUUAUUUGCUAAUCCAUAAGAUGGAGAUCCUUGUCCAUUAAUGUGUGAGAUGGUAGCAGUUCAGUUCCACCUUCACGCUCCACUUCUGAUUCUAGUUCUCUUGCCAUUUCCAUCACAUCUGCAGAGACUUCCUCCACAGGGUCUUGAACGUGUUGAAGUCAUCCAUGAGGGUUGGAAUCAACUUCUGUCAAAGUCCAGUCACUACUGAUAUUUUGACCUCUUCCUAUGAAUCAUGGAUGUUCUUAGUGGUAUCUAGAAUGAUGAAUCUUUUCUAGAAAGUUUUCAAUGGACUUUUCCCAGAACCAUCAGAGGACUUCACUGUCUGUGGCAGCAAUAGCCUCGUGAAAUGCAGUUGUUAAGUAGUAAGACUUGAAGGUUGAAAUGACUCCUUGAUCCAUGGGCUGCAGAAUGGGUAUUGUGUCAGGCAUGAAAACAUUUCUCUUACUGCCCAUCUCCAUCAGAGCUCUUGUUUGACCAGGCGCAGUGUCAGUGAGUAGUAAUAUCUUGAAAGGAAGCUUUUUUUUUUUUUUUAAUUUUUUAUUUAUUUAUGAUAGCCACAGAGAGAGAGAGAGAGAGAGAGGCAGAGACACAGGCAGAGGGAGAAGCAGGCUCCAUGCACUGGGAGCCCGAUGUGGGAUUCGAUCCCGGGUCUCCAGGAUCGCGCCCUGGGCCAAAGGCAGGCGCCAAACCACUGCGCCACCCAGGGAUCCCGAAAGGAAGCUUUUUUUCUGGGCAGUAGGUCUCAAUGGUGGGCUUAAAAUGUUCAGUAAACCAUAUUGCGAGUAGAUACAUUGUCGUCCAGGCUUUGUUGUUGGAUUUACAGGACAGGGAGAGUAGAUUUAGCAUAAUGCUUAAGGGCCCUAAAAUUUUCAGAAUGCUAAAUGAGCAUUGGUUUCAACUUCAAUACAGUUACCAGCUGUAUUAGUCCCUGACAAGAAAGUCAGCUUGUCCUUUGGAGCUUUGAAGCCAGGUGUUGACUUCUCUCUAGGUACGAAAAUCCUGAAAGUCGUGGAUGGCAUCUUCUAAUAUUGGACUGUUUAAUCUACACUGAAAUCUGUUGUUGAGUGCAGCCACCUUCAGUAAUGAUUUCACCUAGAUCUUCUGGAUAAUUAAUUGCCUACUAUUUCUAUAUCAGCAUUUACUACAUCAUUUUGUAUUUUUAUAUUAUGGAGAAGGUUUCUUCCCUUAAACUUCAUGAAUCAGCCUCUGCUAACUUCAGACUUUUACUCUGCAACUUCCUCACCUUUCUUAGCCUUCAUUGAAUUGAGGAGAGUUAGGGCUUGGCUCUGGAGUAGGCUUUGGCUUAAGGGAAUGUUGUGGCUAGUUUGGUCUGUAUAUCACCAAUAAGGCUGUUUCACUUUUUUUUUUUUAGGAUUUUAUUUAUUUAUGAGAAACAGAAAGAGAGAGAGGUGGGGGGCAGAGACAGGCACAGGAAGAAGCAGGCUCCAUGCAGGGAGACUGAUGUGGGACCUGAUCCCGGACUUUUGGGAUCAUGCCUGGGCCGAAGGCUGGUGCUAAACCGCUGAACCACCCAGGUAUCCCCUUACUUUCUUAUAAUUCAUGUAUUCACUGGACUAGCACUUUUAAUUCCUUGAAGAAGUUUUCCUUUGUAUAUUCUACUUGAAUGUGGUAUGCAAGAGGCCUGGCUUUUGGCCUGUCUCACUGUGACAUGCCUUCAUCACUGAGCUUAAUCAUUUGUAGCUUUUUUUUUUUUUUAAAGAUUUUUUUUUUUUUCUUUCUUAAAUUCAAGAGAGACUCAGAGGAGAAGGGGAGAGAGAGAGAGAGAGAGAGAGAGAGAGAGAGAGAGAGAGAGGCAGAGACACAGGCAGAAGGAGAAGCAGGCUCCAUGCAGGGAGCCUGGUGUGGGACUCGAUCCCAGGACCCCAGGAUCAUGCCCUAAGCCAAAGGCAGACACUCAACCGCUGAGUCACCCAGGCAUCCCUCAUUUGUAGCUUUCAACUUAAAGUGAGAUAUGUGACUCGAACACUUAAAGGAUCUUGUAGAGUUAUUAACUGUCCUAAUUUCAGUAUUGUAUCUGAGGGAAUAAGGAGGCCCUGAGAGAGAGGGAGAUAUGGGGGAAUGCCUGGUCACUGGAGCAAUCAGAACACAACGUUUAUUAAGUUCAGUGUCUUACAUUGAUGUGAUUUGUGAUGCCCUCCCACAUUACAAUAUUAACAUCAAAGAUCACUGACCACAGAUCACCAUAGCAAAUAUAAUAAUAGUGAAAAAAGUUUGAAAUAUGGUGAUAAUUACCCAGAUGUGGCUCAAAGACACAAAGUGAGCAAAUGCUGUUGAAAAAAUGGUGCUUAAUGCAGGGUUGGCAUCAACCUUCAAAUUGUUAAAAAGAAAAAAAAAA
Molecule: long non-coding RNA, 6472 nt
Filed under: Canis lupus familiaris (dog)
Lineage: Eukaryota; Metazoa; Chordata; Mammalia; Carnivora; Canidae
Description: lncRNA (ENSCAFG00845015042.1)
Source: RNAcentral